UCUCCUUCAUGCCAUCCCCGCCGUAUUUUAUCUGGGUCUGACAAAAGUGAUUUCAUCCUCGUAUCUGAAAUUUUCAAAUCAUAUUAUAAAUUGUAUGUCUGUCUUACCUAGUUUGUGCUUUCUGUCGCACAUGAUAAAAUUCACCCGAAUUGUUCAUUUUCCUUUUGAAUUGGUGGUUUGAAUCAAUGAAUUUCAAGAUAACUAGACGUCUUUAAUCUUAAAAAAAAAAGUUCUUAGCAACCUUUUCAUUUCUGCGAGUUAGUAAUGAUUUAUUUUGCCUUAGGAGUGACCCAAAAGAAACUUGCUCAAGGACAGCCUCCUUAAAGCAGACUUCCAUAUACCCCAACCUGCAAAAGAAGACUUUACGUGAAAUGUUACAGCCCAUAACAGCUGCAGCCUUGACUAUUAAAUCUCAAAGGGAAUAAAAAAGUCGCCUGACAGUUAAAGCAGAGGACUACACUUGGGGCCAAGAAUAUGGGCUACUUCAUAUGGAAGAACUCCAGCAACCGGGAGGUAGCUCAUCAGAACGUUAGGCAUUUCUGCUACCAGGAGACACCUGGACCCUGUAAGGCUGUGAGCUGAUUCUGGGAACUUUGCCAUCAGUGGCUGAGGCCAGAGACCCACACCAAAGAACAGAUCCUGGAAUUGCUGGUGCUGGAGCAGUUCUUGACUAUCCUGCCAGAGGAGCUCCAAGCCCGGAUGUUAGAGCAUCAGCCGGAGAACAGAGAGGAAAUGGUGAUCAUAUCGGAGGAUUUGGAAAGAGAGCUUGAUGAAACAGAAUAUCGGGUGUGAUUAAAAGGCACAUGAACACCCUAGCCAGAGAAAGAAGCAGCCAUACAUCCAGGGAAGCAAGGUUGCAGAGCUCAAUCUCCACUCCCUCCCGCUUGAUAUGUAAGUCUCUAUGUUUCGUACUCUCAUCCUUUCUGGUUAGCUCCUUACUUCUUAAGGGUGGAAGAAGACUGUGUCAGCAUUCUUUCUCUAUUCUAUGCCCUGAGAUGUGUUCUCUAAGAUGUCUUUUAAAGAUAGUAACUGUGGUUCCAUCAUUGAGUCUUUCACAAGCCCAGCCAUAUCUAAUUGUUCCCAAGUUGCAGCCAGUGCAUAUGGAAUGGGACUGCACUCAGAAUAUCAUCAUCAAGCAGCACAGGAGCCACCAACUAUUCCUUUCCAGCCAAUGAAAAGACAGCUUAAAUGGGAAUAUCCAGAAUUCCAGGCCAUUCAUGAGCAAGGUGAGCAUCACAGUCCAUCUCGAGAGAAAGGGAGUGGUUGAAAGCUCUGCCAGCUACCCAGGCUGAACAGCAUCAGGAGCAUCUCAGACAUAAUCCACCAUGCUGAAUCAGAUGGAAGGUCCAUCUCCUGAAGUACUACAUUCCAGCUUAUGUGGCACCAACAAGACCUGAUGCAGAAUGGCGUAAUGCUGUCCUCCCUCAUAUCAGCCUCAGCAGGAAGUUGUACACCAGCUUCCGUAAUUUCCUUUAAAAAGCUAUUCUAGGCCACUGUCAUUAAAAAAAUACCUUUACUUUUUUGUAAUAUUUUCAUAAUAUAUAAUUUCAUAGCCCAACCUCUACUACACACUUAGUGCUUUCUCUGUAAAGUAGAAUUUACUUUUUUGUCUUAAAAUUACCUUUUCUGAAUCCCCUGGAUCACCUAAAUCCAUUUUGUACCCUCUUUUCUGUUCCCUUUUAAUAGAAGCUACAUCAUUGACCUGAUGUUUUAGACUCAUCUAAACAUUUUUAUUCUUUAGUCCCUGUUGUCUUUAAUUCAAACAUUACACAUAAUUCUAAAAUAUCCCUUAGGUCAGUCAUCUUCAGUAUUACUUCCUCAUUGGACCCAUUACUUCCAGCUUCAGUAUGCUUGAAUUUGUCCUGACUCUCAAUAGAAACAAAUUAUUUUUCUCUUACCUGUCACUUUCCGCAUGCUAUCUUCAGACCUUCCACUCACUUUCAUCCUCCUCUACUUUUAACACUCAUUUUUACUCCCAUUGCUCAACACAACUCUCUUCUUGAUUGUUCCUUUAUUCUGUCUCUUCCUUUGCUCAGUGGUAUGGACUGAAUGUUUGUGGUCCCACCAACAACCCCUAAACAAUUUAUACAUUGAAGCCCUAACCUCCCAUGAGUUGGUAUUAUAGAUGGGGCCUUUGAGAGGUAAUUAGUUCUUGAGGGCAGGGCCCUGUAUGAUAGGAUUAAUGCCCUUUUAAAAGCAGUCACCAGAGAGCUUGAUAUUUCUCCUAUGUGCCCGUGAAGGUAAGGUCUUGUGAGCACAACAGCAAAAAGGUGAUCAUCUGAAAGCCAGAAGGAGAGCCCUCACCAGAAACCAACCAUGUUAGUACCCUGAUCUCAACCUCCAGAACUGUGAGAAAAUAAAUUUCUCUUAUUUAAACCACCAGUAUAGUAUUUUGUUAUGGCAGCCCAACUUAACACCACUUCAUGUCCCAAUUCUGUGGCAAUAAUGUGCAUGAGAGGUCUCCUUCCAUUUACCAGCUAUCUUAUUCCUUGCCUACAAGGAAUAUAUUCUUACAGAUAUCACAAACAGGGAAGACAGUUAUCUGCAUGGGACAUAGCUUGCUUGCUUAAAGAAAAGGACAGAAGUUUAGUACUAGUGAAGAACCAUUUACAUUUUCUAAGGGCCAUUUUUUCACAGAAAACCAUUGUGGGCUCCCAAAAGUACAAGUAACCCAAUUUAGUAUUUUAUUCAAAGUGAAACAUACACUUAGGAAUAGAAUUCAUGAAAAAUUUUACAAAUAUAAGAUGCAUACUCCAUUCACAGUGGCUAUAUCCUAGAAAAUCCCUAAGUAUUACUCUGUACUAUAUUUUUUUCCUUAAUUUGGGGAAACUUUAGUUACUGAGAUUAUACCCUUGAGAUACGGAGAUCUUUAUGAUUCAAGACGCAGACUUAACUAGCCUAGUUUUCCUUUUCUUUAUUCUGGCUCCGCAUCUUCCAAAUGAGUCUAGUUGGAAACUCUUACCCCUUAGUUUCCUCCCAGUCAGCACCAGUUUAGGGGAGUUAAGGAAUUAUUUUUCAUUUCCAGCUCUGGCUCUAAAUAAUGUGUCUCCAGCAGUGAAAUGUAGGCCAAGAUAGCUCUCUGAUAUGUAGCUCCUAUAAAGGAACCCACUUCUCAGAAGCAUUGGAAAAGGCAAAUUAUGAAGGUUCAUAAUACAAUAUAAUAAAAAUUCUUUAGUCAUCCACUAUUACAGAUACUAAGCCAAAUUUUAAAUUCAUACUGUAUAACAAAUUUGAAUUUAGAAAUAAUUCCUCUUUAUUCUUUUCAUUUCAACCCAAGGUUACUUACUGAUAUAGUUCAGAUAUGUGUCUCCACUCAAAUCUCAUGUUGAAUUGUAAUCCCCAAUAUUGGAGAUAGGGCCUGGUGGGAGGUGACUGGAUCAUGGAAGUGGAUCCUUCAUGAAUGGUUUAGCACCACCUUCUUGGUACUGUUCUCCUGAUACUGAAUUCUUGUGUGAUCUCGUUGUUUACAAGUGUGUGGCAUCUCUCCCUUCUCUCUCUUGCUCUUGCUCCUGCCAUGUAAGAAUCCUGCUCUCCCUCUGCCUUCUGCCAUAAUUGUAAGUUUUCUGAGGCCUCCUCAGAAGCCAAGCAGAUACCAGCAUCAUGCUUCCUGUACAGCCUACAGAACCAUGAGCCAAGUAAACCUCUUUUCUUUAUAAAUUACCCAGUCUCAAGUAUUUCUUUAUAGAAAUGUGAGAAUGAACUAAUACACUAACUCUCAAACAUAACUUUUUAUGUAUCCACAUCAUUUCCUAAAAUUUUGUAGAAAUCUUAAAAUAUUAUAUUUUAAUCCCAUCUUUCCCAUCUGAAAGCACUGACAUUCCACAUUUUUUCAAGAAAAAAUAUUUGGUUAGAAACACCGUCAAGUUUGUCUUCUGAGUGUGUACAUUUUAUAAAGAAAAUAAAAAACCUUUUAUAAUAUAAACCCUGGGAAAAGAUUUUGGUCCAUAGCCUAGAAACACAUUUGUAAUAUGUUGCUUAAGUGAAAUUCAUGACAUUUUAGCAUGUAUUUUAUUCUUGUUUACUUCUUUACUGAUAUGUCAUACACUCUUUUUGUUCUAACAUUUUGAUUUGGCAGAGCCAAUACCCACCUAUACUACAACUUUCUUAUGCCAGCACAAGAAUGCUAUAUUCAAAAUGCUUUCCAUGUAUUACCUUCUUUUAUCCUCAGAUAUCCUUGGCAGAUAGUAGGGCAGAUAUUACCCUCAUCUUAUUGAAGAAUAUUCUGGGUAUAAGGAAGUCAAAUAACUUGUCAACAGUUACAAGGUUAUGAGGUAAAGAAGCAAUAAUCUCCAAAGCUACAGCUAUUCAUACAAAGACAAUACAUAAACCCUUACAUUAUAAGUGUCUAGUGCACUGCAAAGAAGACUUAUGAGUGUUUAGCUAGAAGACUGAAGGAAUUCAGGAAAUGCCACUCCAAAAUAUGCCAAUUUGGUAUAUGGGUUAAUUCUAGCCAAAGGCACUUGAAAAACAACAAAUGUAAGGAGAAGCUUUCUCUGAACUCCCCCUAUCUGCCUAAAGACAGAUCCUCUAAAAGGAGCUCAGUUGUCAUCAAUCCCCUCCCUGGGAAUUUCAUCAACCGGGGAAGAUUAACUCUAUCACAGGAGAAGAGGCUAGAAGUUGACACCACACCUAGACAAACUUCUUCAAAAACUAUUAUCUCUUCUUCUGAGGACCCAAUAAUCUUUCCCAAAAAUUAUUUCUCCCCUAAAUUGCCUAUAUCUCACCUCCUCUCCCCUGUGAAGUAGAGAUGUAAACUCCUGAAUCUCACUGGUUGUUUAGGUGUAUGCUUUCUUUUCUGUAC
RNAcentral lists this long non-coding RNA (4801 nucleotides) under Homo sapiens (human). Its description in RNAcentral is "non-protein coding lnc-ZNF165-1:3". The record is from RNAcentral. Lineage: Eukaryota; Metazoa; Chordata; Mammalia; Primates; Hominidae.